This is a long non-coding RNA of Eurytemora carolleeae, 206 nucleotides long. RefSeq lists it as uncharacterized. The record is from RefSeq and is a predicted model, not a curated record. Lineage: Eukaryota; Metazoa; Arthropoda; Copepoda; Calanoida; Temoridae. The transcript has 4 exons.
AGGUGAUUUGGAGAAAGGAGAGUACAAUGGGAGAAUGGAAAAGAGGAGAAGAAAUUGUGUUUAAACGAAUAUCAAAAGAUGACCGGGGAAUAUAUUCAUGUCUAGCACAAAACCAGUUAGGAGUGACGGGGCCUAAUAUUAUACAACUAGAUGUUCAGUAUCCCCCCACCCUUGUAUCCACUUCACCCUCUGCAGUAGCUAGAGCU